UGGGGAAUAUUGCACAAUGGGCGAAAGCCUGAUGCAGCGACGCCGCGUGAGGGAUGACGGCCUUCGGGUUGUAAACCUCCUUCAGUAGGGACGAAGCGCAAGUGACGGUACCUGCAGAAGAAGCACCGGCUAACUACGUGCCAGCAGCCGCGGUAAUACGUAGGGUGCAAGCGUUGGCCGGAAUUACUGGGCGUAAAGAGUUCGUAGGCGGUUUGUCGCGUCGUUUGUGAAAACCAGCAGCUCAACUGCUGGCUUGCGGGCGAUACGGGCAGACUUGGGUACUGCGGGGGAGAAUGGAAUUCCUGGGGUGGCGGUGAAAUGCGCGGAUAUCAGGAGGAACACCGGGGGCGAGGGCGGGUCUCUGGGCGGUAACUGCCGCUGAGGAACGAAGGCGUGGGUAGCGAACAGG
RNAcentral lists this ribosomal RNA (409 nucleotides) under Actinomycetes bacterium. RNAcentral describes it as "Actinobacteria bacterium partial 16S ribosomal RNA". It matches the Rfam family "Bacterial small subunit ribosomal RNA", at positions 355 to 776 of the family's 1533-position model. The record is from RNAcentral. Lineage: Bacteria; Bacillati; Actinomycetota; Actinomycetes.